Molecule: ribosomal RNA, 489 nt
Filed under: uncultured bacterium
Lineage: Bacteria
Description: bacterial SSU rRNA
Rfam family: Bacterial small subunit ribosomal RNA
Source: RNAcentral
CUACGUGCCAGCAGCCGCGGUAAUACGUAGGUGGCAAGCGUUGUCCGGAAUUAUUGGGCGUAAAGCGCGCGCAGGCGGAUUGGUCAGUCUGUCUUAAAAGUUCGGGGCUUAACCCCGUGAUGGGAUGGAAACUGCCAAUCUAGAGUAUCGGAGAGGAAAGUGGAAUUCCUAGUGUAGCGGUGAAAUGCGUAGAUAUUAGGAAGAACACCAGUGGCGAAGGCGACUUUCUGGACGAAAACUGACGCUGAGGCGCGAAAGCCAGGGGAGCGAACGGGAUUAGAUACCCCGGUAGUCCUGGCCGUAAACGAUGGGUACUAGGUGUAGGAGGUAUCGACCCCUUCUGUGCCGGAGUUAACGCAAUAAGUACCCCGCCUGGGGAGUACGACCGCAAGGUUGAAACUCAAAGGAAUUGACGGGGGCCCGCACAAGCGGUGGAGUAUGUGGUUUAAUUCGAAGCAACGCGAAGAACCUUACCAGGUCUUGACAUCC